This is a ribosomal RNA of Clostridium grantii DSM 8605, 250 nucleotides long. It matches the Rfam family "Bacterial small subunit ribosomal RNA", at positions 1 to 252 of the family's 1533-position model. Lineage: Bacteria; Bacillati; Bacillota; Clostridia; Eubacteriales; Clostridiaceae. The record is from Rfam.
UAAAUUGAGAGUUUGAUCCUGGCUCAGGACGAACGCUGGCGGCGUGCUUAACACAUGCAAGUCGAGCGAUGAAGUUCCUUCGGGAACGGAUUAGCGGCAGACGGGUGAGUAACACGUGGGCAACCUACCUCGAAGUGGGGGAUAGCCUUCCGAAAGGAAGAUUAAUACCGCAUAAUAUAUUUUUUACGCAUGUGAGAAAUAUUAAAGAUUUAUUGCUUCGAGAUGGGCCCGCGGCGCAUUAGCUAGUUGG